RNAcentral lists this microRNA (24 nucleotides) under Mus musculus (house mouse). RNAcentral's name for it is "mmu-miR-6906-5p". The record is from miRBase by way of RNAcentral. Lineage: Eukaryota; Metazoa; Chordata; Mammalia; Rodentia; Muridae.
AUGGAUGGGCAGACGGACAGACAG